RNAcentral lists this ribosomal RNA (253 nucleotides) under uncultured bacterium. Its description in RNAcentral is "partial 16S ribosomal RNA". It matches the Rfam family "Bacterial small subunit ribosomal RNA", at positions 524 to 776 of the family's 1533-position model. The record is from RNAcentral.
UACGUAGGGUGCAAGCGUUGUCCGGAAUUAUUGGGCGUAAAGAGCGUGUAGGCGGCCCGAUUAGUCCGCUGUGAAAGUCCAGGGCUCAACCCUGGAAUGCCGGUGGAUACUGUCGGGCUAGAGUCCGGAAGGGGCGAGUGGAAUUCCUGGUGUAGCGGUGAAAUGCGCAGAUAUCAGGAGGAACACCAAUGGCGAAGGCAGCUCGCUGGGACGUGACUGACGCUGAGACGCGAAGGCGUGGGGAGCAAACAGG